Molecule: ribosomal RNA, 354 nt
Filed under: uncultured eukaryote
Lineage: Eukaryota
Description: bacterial SSU rRNA
Rfam family: Eukaryotic small subunit ribosomal RNA
Source: RNAcentral
CAAUAGCGUAUAUUAAAGUUGUUGCAGUUAAAAAGCUCGUAGUUGGAUUUCUGGCCGAGUGUCCCCAAGCAGACAGACGUCUUGUCUUGGGCGCUCUGCCAUCCUUCUGUUAACCUUCGCCUCGUUCGUUCGUGGCGCUGGGGCUCAGAUAUUUUACCUUGAGAAAAUUAGAGUGUUUCAGGCAGGCUUUCGCCGGAAUACAUUAGCAUGGAAUAAUGGAAUAGGACUGGAUUCUUUUAUUUGGUCACUGAAUCUAGUAAUGAUUAAUAGGAACAGUUGGGGUCAUUAAUAUUAAUGAGUCAGAGGUGAAAUUCUUCGAUUUCAUUAAGAUUAACUAAUGCGAAAGCAUUUGAC